UUGAUGACUCUCGACAACGGAUAUCUAGGCUCUCGCAUCGAUGAAGAACGUAGCGAAAUGCGAUACUUGGUGUGAAUUGCAGAAUCCCGUGAACCAUCGAGUCUUUGAACGCAAGUUGCGCCCGAAGCCUUUAGGUGGAAGGCAUGCCUGCUUGGGCGUCAUGU
RNAcentral lists this ribosomal RNA (164 nucleotides) under Phyllospadix scouleri. Its description in RNAcentral is "5.8S ribosomal RNA". It matches the Rfam family "5.8S ribosomal RNA". Rfam says of the family: 5.8S ribosomal RNA (5.8S rRNA) is a component of the large subunit of the eukaryotic ribosome. It is transcribed by RNA polymerase I as part of the 45S precursor that also contains 18S and 28S rRNA. Lineage: Eukaryota; Viridiplantae; Streptophyta; Magnoliopsida; Alismatales; Zosteraceae. The record is from RNAcentral.